This 464-nucleotide ribosomal RNA is filed under the name uncultured bacterium. RNAcentral's name for it is "partial 16S ribosomal RNA". It matches the Rfam family "Bacterial small subunit ribosomal RNA", at positions 339 to 795 of the family's 1533-position model. The record is from RNAcentral.
CUACGGGCCGCUCCAGUGGGGAAUAUUGCACAAUGGGCGCAAGCCUGAUGCAGCCAUGCCGCGUGUAUGAAGAAGGCCUUCGGGUUGUAAAGUACUUUCAGCGGGGAGGAAGGGAGUAAAGUUAAUACCUUUGCUCAUUGACGUUACCCGCAGAAGAAGCACCGGCUAACUCCGUGCCAGCAGCCGCGGUAAUACGGAGGGUGCAAGCGUUAAUCGGAAUUACUGGGCGUAAAGCGCACGCAGGCGGUUUGUUACGUCAGAUGUGAAAUCCCCGGGCUCAACCUGGGAACUGCAUCUGAUACGGGCAAGCUUGAGUCUCGUAGAGGGGGGUAGAAUUCCAGGUGUAGCGGUGAAAUGCGUAGAGAUCUGGAGGAAUACCGGUGGCGAAGGCGGCCCCCUGGACGAAGACUGACGCUCAGGUGCGAAAGCGUGGGGAGCAAACAGGAUUAGAUACCCUCGUAGUC